Molecule: long non-coding RNA, 3047 nt
Organism: Centrocercus urophasianus (Greater sage-grouse)
Lineage: Eukaryota; Metazoa; Chordata; Aves; Galliformes; Phasianidae
Exons: 3
Source: RefSeq, a predicted model, not a curated record
AAUGCUACACUCAAAAGGGGUACAAGCUGCAUUUUGCUCGCCUUCUCAAAACUGUUUUAUUUUCGUUUAAUUAUCAAAUUCCAAUUCUGCCUUCAGAUAAGACACACUCUAACCACCUACUUCACAGCCAGGCAGCUUUAUCUGCAGAUUGCACCGUUACUGUCCAAAAUCCUCCAGAGCAAAGAGAGAUGCUUCAGCCCUUUGAUCAUCCUUGAUGCCCUCCUCUGGAUCCGCUCCAAAAGCUCCACCUCCCUCUUGUACUGACAUCACCAAGCCUGGAUGCAGCACUCCAGAUGAAACCUCACAAUGUCAGAGUAGAGGGGGACAAUCACCUCCCUCUCCUUGCCGGCCUCUCACAACUUCUGAUAAGUAGUUGUAUUUAUAUUUGCAUGUGCUACAUCUGAGAAGUCUUAAACUGUGAAUAAUAAAUUUAGAUUGAAUGUUUCAUACAUAAAUAACCGUUUAACUUUUUCAUUUGAGCUGUAGGUUAGAUGUAGCAACAAAUCUGUCUAAUAGCACUGUAACUUCAUUUGUAAGAUUAGAGACCUGUUUAAUAUUUCUGGCAAUUCAUACUUUGAGAAUAAAAAUGUGCGUAUUUUUUACUUUUCCUAUUAUAAAAAUGCUAUGUUCUUUCUUUAAGUAUAUAUAAACAAAUUGAUAUGCUAUAGAUUUGUAAAAUUAUAUUAUUUAUAAUGUUAGAAAUUCAUUUUUCUCUUACAAAUGCAUGAAUCAAUUCUAAUUUGUAAUUCACAUUCAGUGGAACAUUUACAAGUGGGAUAGAAAAAAAGGAAGUUAACUGCAUAAAAAUGUGCUGCUAGCAACCCAUCAUAUUCAAAACUUUUAAAAUGGUAAUAAUUUCUCAUAAAGUAGUUAGGCUUAGCAUCUGUUCAGUUAAUUGACAGUAAUCAUUCUCACAGAACAGGCCAUGAUAUCCUCUAAUUCACAGAUCACCUUUACAGUGAAGUAGCCAAACAGCAAUGUAUGACCUAUUUUAGAAGUCUUCUUUCCUCGUAGGACAGAACAAGCAUUGCGUAAGCACAAUAGCAGUAACCUACUUAGAGGCAUUUUCUACUCUUUAGAAUCUUCUGCAUUUCAGCAGAAAUACCAAGAGUUAGUAACUUGGGAAACAUUUCUCCAGGAAAAGGUGUACAUCAUGUGCUAGGUUUUCUUAUGUUUUUUCAUUUUGUAAAUUUGUUGCAUUCGCUCUGUGACACCGUCAAUGUAAUCAUGGAGAUUUGCAGCACAGGUUUUGUAUUUUUUUCCCCCCCAUCUGGAGAGCAGAAGGCUGGGAAAAUAUAUAUUAAACAUGUAGAAUGUGAAUAGGAUGAAAAAUGUCUUUGAACUUGAAAACAAUCUUCCUUAGCCUUAAAUUAAAGUCAUUGCUUGAAUAAUUAAAACUUAAUGUUUGUUAGCUAGGCCAACAAAGAAAUAAAUACAUAUAUUCAAAAUAUAUGUAUGCACACAGAGUAAGAUAAAAGUAAGUGAUGAAAAGAUAAAGCUAUCCAGUCUGCUGACAUUUUUUAGUGUGUGGUAUUUCAGACUUUUUUAGGAUUGCAUUUAUUGGCCAGGUGUACCAUUUAUAUAUCUGUCAGCAGUGUACAAUGACAGUAUCCAGAGCACAUAACUGAAAUAAAGUGGAAUAAGAUUUAUGUUCUGUUUCAAAAGUGGCCACUAUGGCUUUUAACAGAAUGAACUACUCCUGUGGUAGAAAGCAUUAUCUUGAAGGUAGAAGUCACUUUCCCAUCAGCAUUUGAGGGAGCGCUAAUGAUGCAGGAGAUCACUGUAAAAGAUGAGUAUACAGAUGUAAGUUAUAGGCUUUAGGAAAAUGAGAUUUGAUCAGUCAAGCAUUUCAGGUGAAGAUCAUGAGAGCAGUUAAUGAACUUGAAAAAAGGUGUUAGCUCUCCUGAGAUAGUCUCUUAGUGACUGGGAGGUAAUAGUACGUAUUUGCAGAAGCAAUUUGGGUGAGACGAGCUAAAAGAAAAAUCAAAAGCAAGUAAUUAUCAGAAAUGUCGUACAUAUUGCUUUAUUAUAAAUGCAAAAAUCUAUUACCUACAUAAUAAUAAAAAGGUUGUUUUCUAGACUAAAAGUACUACAUAAAUCACCUUUUUUCAUCCAAGAAAACAAUCGUCUCAUAAGAGGUUAAUUAUUUCUGCUAAUAUAACACUGAUUUCAAAGCAGAAAUUUCAGGAGCAAUACUGAGUUCUCAGCAAUGCAACCUCAUUAUGAAAACUUCUGUAACAGUAAAAAAAAAGUUAAAGAGAUUAAGAUUUAAAACUGCUUAUCAGAAUCCUGCCUCUCAAAUUCUCCUUUUUAAAAACAAAUCAGAACCAUAAUUUACAUUAUGCCAGUUGCUCAACUGAACUAUAUCAUGUGAUACCCAACACUUUAGUCAAUUUAAAGCAUUAUUUGUGUUGAGCAGGACAUAGUAUAACUGUGAGAUCACUAGACAAAAAAAUAAAAUAAAAUUUACUGGACAAGAAAUCCUAGGGAUUUCAGACAAGAAAAACAGAAAGUUUUCAAAAAUAUUACCACAGGUAAUAGUUAGCUGAUUCACCAUUGUUUCAGUUUUGUAUUAGUGUAUAGAGCCUUUCAUAUAAAUUAUCCUUUAUCUACAAAUUUUGUAUUACAUACUCAGAAAGAAUAAAGCUAUUGCAUUUACAUAAAAAGAGUUUAUAAUUGUCUUGUUUCAUAUAAAAUGUCAGCCAGCCACAAAUAUUGUGAUCUGACAGAAUCGGAUGCAGUGUCCAAAACUUAAAUCAAACUUGAUUUACAUAUUAUUACACUGCACAACUUCCAGAGGACUUUUGGAAAUAGGAUUUUUUAUCUGGAAUCAUUUUUGCUUUUUAAUAACACAUUUCAAUGUCACUAGUUAGACAAGAACCAUGCUUUGCAAGUAGGGAAGAUCUUCAUUAAGAAAUCACCCGAGAGUACUUCAACAUAUUUUCACAUUCCCUUGAUAAAUUAAGGUUAUUUCAGAUCUGAAAUAAAUCUGUUCAUUUGUUGGCUGUGUUUAUGGAGUUAAAUUGAAUAAAGUUCUUAAAAAAACA